GGAGUGAACGAACCGCUGGUGUUCGGGUUGUCAUGCCAAUGGCACUGCCCGGUAGCUACGUCCGGAAUGGAUAACCGCUGAAAGCAUCUAAGCGGGAAGCCGGCCAAGAGAUGAGUCAUCCCUUGUACCUUGAGUACACAUAAGGGUUGUUGGAGACCACAACGUUGAUAGGUGAGGUGUGGAAGCGUAGUGAUACGUUAAGCUAAC
This 207-nucleotide non-coding RNA is filed under the name Daphnia magna. Its description in RNAcentral is "Bacterial large subunit ribosomal RNA". It matches the Rfam family "Bacterial large subunit ribosomal RNA", at positions 2694 to 2895 of the family's 2925-position model. The record is from Rfam by way of RNAcentral. Lineage: Eukaryota; Metazoa; Arthropoda; Branchiopoda; Diplostraca; Daphniidae.